GGUGAACCUGCGAAGGAUCAUUGU
This 24-nucleotide ribosomal RNA is filed under the name Corybas barbarae. Its description in RNAcentral is "partial 18S ribosomal RNA". Lineage: Eukaryota; Viridiplantae; Streptophyta; Magnoliopsida; Asparagales; Orchidaceae. The record is from RNAcentral.